Molecule: ribosomal RNA, 424 nt
Filed under: Oreolalax sterlingae
Lineage: Eukaryota; Metazoa; Chordata; Amphibia; Anura; Megophryidae
Description: partial 12S ribosomal RNA
Rfam family: Bacterial small subunit ribosomal RNA
Source: RNAcentral
CUGGGAUUAGAUACCCCACUAUGCCCGGCCUCAAACUUUGAUUAAUUACAAUUUUAUUCGCCAGGGGACUACGAGCGUCAGCUUAAAACCCAAAGGACUUGGCGGUGCCCUACACCUCCUAGAGGAGCCUGUUCUGUAAUCGAUAAUCCACGAUAUACCUCACCGUUUCUUGCCAAAACCGCCUAUAUACCGCCGUCUCCAACUUACCCUAUGAAGGAUAUACAGUAAGUUUAAAGAUCACCCAUCAGAACGUCAGGUCAAGGUGUAGCGAAUGAAACGGGAAGAAAUGGGCUACAUUUUCUAUUUUAGAUCACACGGACAAUCAGUAUGAAACCUGAUUAUGAAGGAGGAUUUAGCAGUAAAAAGAAAUCAGCAAGUUCUUUUUAAGUCGGACCUAGGGCGCGUACACACCGCCCGUCACCCU